RNAcentral lists this ribosomal RNA (253 nucleotides) under uncultured bacterium. RNAcentral describes it as "partial 16S ribosomal RNA". It matches the Rfam family "Bacterial small subunit ribosomal RNA", at positions 524 to 776 of the family's 1533-position model. The record is from RNAcentral.
GACGUAGGGCGCGAGCGUUGUCCGGAUUUAUUGGGCGUAAAGAGCUCGUAGGCGGCUUGUCGCGUCGACUGUGAAAACUUGGGGCUCAACCCCAAGCUUGCAGUCGAUACGGGCAGGCUAGAGUUCGGUAGGGGAGACUGGAAUUCCUGGUGUAGCGGUGAAAUGCGCAGAUAUCAGGAGGAACACCUGAGGUGAAGACGGGUUGCUGGGCUGACACUGACGCUGAGGCGCGAAAGCCAGGGGAGCAAACGGG